GUACAACAAUUAUGUGGUACAUAGUACAAAAUGACUACAAAUUUCUUAACUGAUAGAAGAGUUUGGUCAGUGAUGCAGCAGCUCUAGGGACAUUUGAGUCAGUGGUUUUGCAUCUUCAUUUUGAUUUGGUGGAAAUUAAAGCCAUAUUUGAGGUACUGAAUAAAAUAAUUACCAUCAUCAUAUCUCGAGGAGAGCUUUAAUAUAGUAAAGCUUACUCACUGGUUAUAGAAGAAAUGAAAAGCAGAAAUACCACAAGGGAGAAUUUUUGUUCUGAUGUUAUUUACUAUUUUCACUCCUGAAAUGUCUUUCUAGCACUCACUGCCAGCUUCUAUCUGCACAAACUUCACUUGUUUUAUAAAACUAAACAUAAAAAACUUUAAACUCAACAAUAUCUGGAAAUUAGAGUUGAACCAUGUGAAAUCAUUUCAGUCAUUCAUUCUGGGCAUGACCUUAGGCCAAUGAAGCUGAACUUUAAAUCAUUUUUAACUAUCUAAAAUAAUUUCUGUCUAAUAAUACACCAUAAUACCUAAUUGGGUGUCAUGGAUGAGAGGCUAGAACCACUUUAAAAUACUUUUUUCCAAUUAUGGUCAAUUAAAAUUCCAAUGUUUGAAUUGAGAACCACUAUAGUAGUAAUACAAGUCGAAAACCCUAAACUCUUGGGUACAACGAAAAUCACAAAAUUAAUUUAAUUUAGAGAACAUGUCCAUGAGCCAACUAAAGUAUACUUCAAAUAAUUUUGAACUGGUUCUAAUAAUAUUUUUUGAUAUGUUAAUUUCAUUAAAAAUAUAUUUCAGGUGGAGAAGAAUAUAGUGCCCAGAAUGGCUGGGUUGCCUGUCUUUGCAUUUGUUAUGGCAUACAUUGCUGAUAAAUUAACUACACAUUACCACUGGCCUUCUAGUUAUUUUAGAAAGAUUUUUGCAUCAAUCGGUUGCUAUGGAGCAUGUAUAUGUAUAUCUUUUACGCUUUAUAUAAAUGGCCCAAACUCAGUAACAAUGUUUAUACUGGCUACUUACUUUUAUGGCACGCUGAUCAGUAAUGCAUAUUAUAAUGCUUUGCUGGAUAUUUCACCUACAUACGUUGGCAUUACAGCUGCACUAACUUCAAUUCCGUACACGUUCAUAGAAUGUUUUCUUCUUUGGUAUGGUAAAACUUCUAUUUCAGUGAAAACAUUCGAUGAAUUGACUAAUAUUUUUGAAGGUACCAUAUUACUCAUCAUGUUUGGAAAUACCAUAUUCUGCAUGGGUACAUAUGAGAAAUAUUCAUUUGACUUAAUCGGCAAAAUUCCAUG
Cimex lectularius (bed bug) is the source of this 1288-nucleotide RNA transcript. RefSeq lists it as uncharacterized. The record is from RefSeq and is a predicted model, not a curated record. Lineage: Eukaryota; Metazoa; Arthropoda; Insecta; Hemiptera; Cimicidae. The transcript is spliced from 4 exons.